AAAGGGCUGCAGUAUAUUGACUGUACAAAGGUAGCAUAAUCAAUAGUCUCUUAAUUGGUGACUUGUAUGAAAGAUUUGAUGAAAUAUAAACUGUCUCUUAUUUAUUAAAAGAAUUUAAUUUUUUGAUUAAAAAGUCAAAAUAUUUUAAAAAGACGAGAAGACCCUAUAGAGUUUUAUUUUUAGAUUAAUUAAAGUUAUUUUUUAGUUUAAUAAUUAAAAUUAAUUUAAAUAUUUUAUUGGGGUGAUGGAAAAAUAAAUUUAACUUUUUUUAUUUUAAAACAUUAAUUAAUGAAUAUAUGAUCCAAAAAUUUUGAUUAAAAGAAAAAAUUACCUUAGGGAUAACAGCGUAAUUUUUUUUUUUAGUUCUUAUAAAAAAAAGAGUUUGCGACCUCGAUGUUGGAUUAAAAUAAAAUUUAUAUGCAAAAGUAUAAAA
Molecule: ribosomal RNA, 433 nt
Filed under: Placosaris rubellalis
Lineage: Eukaryota; Metazoa; Arthropoda; Insecta; Lepidoptera; Crambidae
Description: partial 16S ribosomal RNA
Source: RNAcentral